CUGCUGCCUUCCGUAGGAGUCUGGUCCGUGUCUCAGUACCAGUGUGGGGGACCUUCCUCUCAGAACCCCUACGCAUCGUCGCCUUGGUGGGCCGUUACCCCGCCAACUAGCUAAUGCGACGCAUGACCAUCCGUAGCCGGAAUCGCUUCCUUUAAACCCGAGGAGAUGCCUCCUCGGGUUGUUACGCGGUAUUAGACGGAAUUUCUUCCGCUUAUCCCCUGCUACGGGCAGGUUUCAUACGUGUUACUCACCCGUGCGCCGGUCGCCGGCGGGAGUUA
RNAcentral lists this ribosomal RNA (278 nucleotides) under uncultured bacterium. RNAcentral describes it as "partial 16S ribosomal RNA". The record is from RNAcentral.